This 112-nucleotide ribosomal RNA is filed under the name uncultured bacterium. RNAcentral describes it as "partial 16S ribosomal RNA". It matches the Rfam family "Bacterial small subunit ribosomal RNA", at positions 1373 to 1482 of the family's 1533-position model. The record is from RNAcentral.
CCCGGGCCUUGUACACACCGCCCGUCACACCACGAAAGUCGGCAAUACCCGAAGCCGGUGGCCUAACCCGCAAGGGAGGCAGCCGUCGAAGGUAGGGUCGAUGAUUGGGGUG